UCCGCCCGCUGGCGGCGUGCUUAACACAUGCAAGUCGAACGGAAAGGCCCUGCUUUUGUGGGGUGCUCGAGUGGCGAACGGGUGAGUAACACGUGAGUAACCUGCCCUUGACUUUGGGAUAACUUCAGGAAACUGGGGCUAAUACCGGAUAGGAGCUCCUGCUGCAUGGUGGGGGUUGGAAAGUUUCGGCGGUUGGGGAUGGACUCGCGGCUUAUCAGCUUGUUGGUGGGGUAGUGGCUUACCAAGGCUUUGACGGGUAGCCGGCCUGAGAGGGUGACCGGCCACAUUGGGACUGAGAUACGGCCCAGACUCCUACGGGAGGCAGCAGUGGGGAAUAUUGCACAAUGGGCGGAAGCCUGAUGCAGCAACGCCGCGUGCGGGAUGACGGCCUUCGGGUUGUAAACCGCUUUCGCCUGUGACGAAGCGUGAGUGACGGUAAUGGGUAAAGAAGCACCGGCUAACUACGUG
RNAcentral lists this ribosomal RNA (468 nucleotides) under uncultured bacterium. RNAcentral's name for it is "partial 16S ribosomal RNA". It matches the Rfam family "Bacterial small subunit ribosomal RNA", at positions 34 to 507 of the family's 1533-position model. The record is from RNAcentral.